Molecule: ribosomal RNA, 490 nt
Filed under: uncultured bacterium
Lineage: Bacteria
Description: partial 16S ribosomal RNA
Rfam family: Bacterial small subunit ribosomal RNA
Source: RNAcentral
AUUGAACGCUGGCGGCAGGCCUAACACAUGCAAGUCGAACGGUAACAGGAAGAAGCUUGCUUCUUUGCUGACGAGUGGCGGACGGGUGAGUAAUGUCUGGGAAACUGCCUGAUGGAGGGGGAUAACUACUGGAAACGGUAGCUAAUACCGCAUAACGUCGCAAGACCAAAGAGGGGGACCUUCGGGCCUCUUGCCCUCGGAUGUGCCCAGAUGGGAUUAGCUAGUAGGUGGGGUAACGGCUCACCUAGGCGACGAUCCCUAGCUGGCCUGAGAGGAUGACCAGCCACACUGGAACUGAGACACGGUCCAGACUCCUACGGGAGGCAGCAGUGGGGAAUAUUGCACAAUGGGCGCAAGCCUGAUGCAGCCAUGCCGCGUGUAUGAAGAAGGCCUUCGGGUUGUAAAGUACUUUCAGCGGGGAGGAAGGGAGUAAAGUUAAUACCUUUGCUCAUUGACGUUACCCGCAGAAGAAGCACCGGCUAACUCCGUG